Molecule: ribosomal RNA, 433 nt
Filed under: uncultured bacterium
Lineage: Bacteria
Description: partial 16S ribosomal RNA
Rfam family: Bacterial small subunit ribosomal RNA
Source: RNAcentral
AGCGAACGCUGGCGGCAGGCCUAACACAUGCAAGUCGAACGGAUCCUUCGGGAUUAGUGGCGGACGGGUGAGUAACACGUGGGAACGUGCCCUUUGGUUCGGAACAACUCAGGGAAACUUGAGCUAAUACCGGAUGUGCCCUUCGGGGGAAAGAUUUAUCGCCAUUGGAGCGGCCCGCGUCUGAUUAGCUAGUUGGUGAGGUAACGGCCCACCAAGGCGACGAUCAGUAGCUGGUCUGAGAGGAUGAUCAGCCACACUGGGACUGAGACACGGCCCAGACUCCUGCGGGAGGCAGCAGUGGGGAAUCUUGCGCAAUGGGCGAAAGCCUGACGCAGCCAUGCCGCGUGAAUGAUGAAGGUCUUAGGAUUGUAAAAUUCUUUCAGCGGGGACGAUAAUGACGGUACCCGCAGAAGAAGCUCCGGCUAACUUCGUG